GAUGAACGCUGGCGGCGCGCCUAAUACAUGCAAGUCGAACGCAUAGCGAAAGGUGCUUGCACCUUUCAAGUGAGUGGCGAACGGGUGAGUAACACGUGGACAACCUGCCUCAAGGCUGGGGAUAACAUUUGGAAACAGAUGCUAAUACCGAAUAAAACUUAGUGUCGCAUGACACAAAGUUAAAAGGCGCUUCGGCGUCACCUAGAGAUGGAUCCGCGGUGCAUUAGUUAGUUGGUGGGGUAAAGGCCUACCAAGACAAUGAUGCAUAGCCGAGUUGAGAGACUGAUCGGCCACAUUGGGACUGAGACACGGCCCAAACUCCUACGGGAGGCUGCAGUAGGGAAUCUUCCGCAAUGGGCGAAAGCCUGAUGGAGCAACGCCGCGUGUGUGAUGAAGGCUUUCGGGUCGUAAAGCACUGUUGUAUGGGAAGAACAGCUAGAAUAGGAAAUGAUUUUAGUUUGACGGUACCAUACCAGAAAGGGACGGCUAAAUACGUG
This 497-nucleotide ribosomal RNA is filed under the name uncultured bacterium. RNAcentral describes it as "partial 16S ribosomal RNA". It matches the Rfam family "Bacterial small subunit ribosomal RNA", at positions 28 to 507 of the family's 1533-position model. The record is from RNAcentral.